GCAUGAAGUCGGAAUUGCUAGUAAUCGCGGAUCAGCAUGCCGCGGUGAAUACGUUCCCGGGCCUUGUACACACCGCCCGUCACACCAUGGGAGCCGGUAAUACCCGAAGUCAGUAGUCCAACCUCGUGAGGACGCUGCCGAAGGUAGGAUUGGCGACUGGGGUGAAGUCGUAACAAGGUACC
Molecule: ribosomal RNA, 182 nt
Filed under: uncultured bacterium
Lineage: Bacteria
Description: partial 16S ribosomal RNA
Rfam family: Bacterial small subunit ribosomal RNA
Source: RNAcentral